This 333-nucleotide ribosomal RNA is filed under the name Rhodocyclales bacterium. RNAcentral's name for it is "partial 23S ribosomal RNA". It matches the Rfam family "Bacterial large subunit ribosomal RNA", at positions 2606 to 2925 of the family's 2925-position model. The record is from RNAcentral. Lineage: Bacteria; Pseudomonadati; Pseudomonadota; Betaproteobacteria; Rhodocyclales.
UGGGUUUAAAACGUCGUGAGACAGUUUGGUCCCUAUCUGCCGUGGGCGCUGGAAAUUUGAGGGGGCCUGCUCCUAGUACGAGAGGACCGGAGUGGACGUAUCUCUGGUGGACCGGUUGUCACGCCAGUGGCAUAGCCGGGUAGCUAAAUACGGAAGAGAUAAACGCUGAAAGCAUCUAAGCGUGAAACUCGCCUCAAGAUGAGAUAUCCCGGGGAUUCGAUCCCCCUGAAGGGUCGUCCUAGACCAGGACGUUGAUAGGCUGGGUGUGGAAGCGCAGCAAUGCGUUAAGCUGACCAGUACUAAUUGCCCGUGCGGCUUGACCCUAUAACUUUG